This 468-nucleotide ribosomal RNA is filed under the name uncultured bacterium. Its description in RNAcentral is "partial 16S ribosomal RNA". It matches the Rfam family "Bacterial small subunit ribosomal RNA", at positions 28 to 507 of the family's 1533-position model. The record is from RNAcentral.
GACGAACGCUGGCGGCGUGCUUAACACAUGCAAGUCGAACGGAAAGGCCCUGCUUUUGUGGGGUGCUCGAGUGGCGAACGGGUGAGUAACACGUGAGUAACCUGCCCUUGACUUUGGGAUAACUUCAGGAAACUGGGGCUAAUACCGGAUAGGAGCUCCUGCUGCAUGGUGGGGGUUGGAAAGUUUCGGCGGUUGGGGAUGGACUCGCGGCAUAUCAGCUUGUUGGUGGGGUAGUGGCUUACCAAGGCUUUGACGGGUAGCCGGCCUGAGAGGGUGACCGGCCACAUUGGGACUGAGAUACGGCCCAGACUCCUACGGGAGGCAGCAGUGGGGAAUAUUGCACAAUGGGCGGAAGCCUGAUGCAGCAACGCCGCGUGCGGGAUGACGGCCUUCGGGUUGUAAACCGCUUUCGCCUGGGACGAAGCGUGAGUGACGGUAAUGGGUAAAGAAGCACCGGCUAACUACGUG